Molecule: ribosomal RNA, 1032 nt
Filed under: Triticum aestivum (bread wheat)
Lineage: Eukaryota; Viridiplantae; Streptophyta; Magnoliopsida; Poales; Poaceae
Description: partial small subunit ribosomal RNA
Source: RNAcentral
AUGAUCAUUCCCCUGGAAGAGCUAGAGAAGGCAACAAACAAUUUUGAUCAGACUCGUAAGCUUGGAGAUGGUGGCCAUGGUGUUGUCUACAAAGAUAUUUUAUCAGACUUACAUGUCGUGGCCAUCAAGAAGUCGAACAUUAUGGUUCAGAGAGAAAUUGACGAGUUCCUAAAUGAGGUUGCCAUCCUUUCACACAUCAACCAUAAGAAUAUUGUCAAGCUUUAUUGAUGUUGUCUAGAGAUAGAAGUCCCUUUGCUUGCCUACGAGUUCAUUUCCAAUGGAACCCUUAGUGACCACCUUCAUCGAGAACCGCCAAGAUCGAUACCAUGGGAAGCCAGACUGAAGAUUGCAAGUGAAGUAGGCAAAGCUAUCUCUUACCUGCACUCAGCUGUAACAUUUCCAAUAAUACAUAGAGAUAUUAAAUCUUCCAACAUACUGCUAGAUGAUGCCUUCACAUCAAAGGUCUCUGACUUUGGUACUUCAAGGUACAUACCAGUUGAUCAGACAGAGGUAACAGCAACUGCAGUGCAAGGGACUCGAGGAUAUUUAGAUCCUAUGUACUAUUACACAGGACGACUAUCAGAAAAGAGUGAUGUCUAUAGCUUUGGAGUGCUUCUUAUUGAACUGCUCACUAGAAAGAGGCCAAACAUGUAUCUAUCCUCCGAAGGAGAAGGUCUGGUUCUCAAAUUUGGUGAACUACAUGCUGAAGGCAAUCUAAGUUAAAUAGUAGAUCCACAAGUGGCGGAGGAAGCAGGUGGUGAGGUGCAAGAAGUGGCUGAUGUAGCCGUGUCAUGCAUUAAAAUGAGAGGAGAAGAGAGGCCAACCAUGAGGCAAGUGGAGAUGGCACUCGAAGGCCUCCAAGUAACCAAUAAUGAGAGUGCCACAUAUGACCUGCGAGUGCAACGAAAUGGGAGAACUGUGCUGCAGCGAGUUAUCCAUCAACUAGCUAGAAGAACUACAAGCUUGGAGGAAGGUAGCAGAAGUUACAGUCAAGAAGAAGAGUUCAUAUUGUCUGCGACAUACCCUCGUUAA